AGCUCCAAUAGCGUAUAUUAAAGUUGUUGCAGUUAAAAAGCUCGUAGUUGGAUUUCUGGUCUGAUGAGCCUAGCCCGCGCCCGAAAGGGCAGCGAGUGCUGGUGCACGUCUGCCAUCCUUCUAGAAAACGUUUGUACCAUUUAUUUGGCAGCGAACGCGAUCUAGAUCUUUUACUUUGAAAAAAUUAGAGUGUUUAAAGCAGGCAUUUUGCUAUGAAUACAUUAGCAUGGAAUAAUAACAUAGGACUUUGGUUCUAUUUUGUUGGUUUCCUGAACUAAAGUAAUGAUUGAUAGGGAUAGUUGGGGGUGCUAGUAUUCAGCGGCCAGAGGUGAAAUUCACGGAUUCGCUGAAGACUAACUUAUGCGAAAGCAUUCACCAAGGAUGUCUUCUUUAAUCAAGA
RNAcentral lists this ribosomal RNA (400 nucleotides) under phytoplankton environmental sample. Its description in RNAcentral is "partial small subunit ribosomal RNA". It matches the Rfam family "Eukaryotic small subunit ribosomal RNA", at positions 587 to 982 of the family's 1831-position model. The record is from RNAcentral.